AUACGGAGGGGGUUAGCGUUGUUCGGAAUUACUGGGCGUAAAGCGCACGUAGGCGGAUUGGAAAGUUGGGGGGGAAAUCCCAGGGCUCAACCCUGGAACUGCCUCCAAAACUAACAGUCUAGAGUUCGAGAGAGGUGAGUGGAAUUCCAAGUGUAGAGGUGAAAUUCGUAGAUAUUUGGAGGAACACCAGUGGCGAAGGCGGCUCACUGGCUCGAUACUGACGCUGAGGUGCGAAAGCGUGGGGAGCAAACAGGAUUAGAAACCCUAGUAGUCC
Molecule: ribosomal RNA, 274 nt
Filed under: uncultured bacterium
Lineage: Bacteria
Description: partial 16S ribosomal RNA
Rfam family: Bacterial small subunit ribosomal RNA
Source: RNAcentral